Long non-coding RNA from Podarcis raffonei (Aeolian wall lizard), 329 nucleotides. RefSeq lists it as uncharacterized. The transcript has 3 exons. Lineage: Eukaryota; Metazoa; Chordata; Lepidosauria; Squamata; Lacertidae. The record is from RefSeq and is a predicted model, not a curated record.
CUAAUCACAACUGUAAAUUCCAGGCCAACUGUUCACCCAUCUUGCUCUCUGCUCUGAAUGUCCUCCUCCUCCUUCAACUUCAGUUGCUCUUAACUAGUACUUCCGAUGUGUGAAAUGCCUUAUGAUCUUAUCUCUAUCAUUCCGCACCUGCCCUGCAAGCUUUGCACAGUGAAACAGACAGCUAGUGAGACAGAUGAUUCAUGAAUAUCAUUGAACAGUCUUGGCAGCAUUCCAAAGGCAUGCGAAAUCAACUCUUGCUAUUCUGGCCAGAUCUGGGUAAAACAGGCUGGAUGGUUGUCCUGCCUGCAACAUAUCCUGCAACUUUAUUU